CCUACGGGAGGCAGCAGUGGGGAAUUUUGGACAAUGGGCGAAAGCCUGAUCCAGCAAUGCCGCGUGCAGGAAGAAGGCCUUCGGGUUGUAAACUGCUUUUGUACGGAACGAAACGGUCUGCUUUAAUACAGUGGGCUAAUGACGGUACCGUAAGAAUAAGCACCGGCUAACUACGUGCCAGCAGCCGCGGUAAUACGUAGGGUGCGAGCGUUAAUCGGAAUUACUGGGCGUAAAGCGUGCGCAGGCGGUUAUAUAAGACAGUUGUGAAAUCCCCGGGCUCAACCUGGGAAUUGCAUCUGUGACUGUAUAGCUAGAGUACGGUAGAGGGGGAUGGAAUUCCGCGUGUAGCAGUGAAAUGCGUAGAUAUGCGGAGGAACACCGAUGGCGAAGGCAAUCCCCUGGACCUGUACUGACGCUCAUGCACGAAAGCGUGGGGAGCAAACAGGAUUAGAUACCCUGGUAGUCCACGCCCUAAACGAUGUCAACUGGUUGUUGGGUGCAUUAGUACUCAGUAACGAAGCUAACGCGUGAAGUUGAACCGCCUGGGGAGUACGGCCGCGAAGGUUGAAACGUCAAAUGAAUUGACGG
Molecule: ribosomal RNA, 588 nt
Filed under: uncultured bacterium
Lineage: Bacteria
Description: bacterial SSU rRNA
Rfam family: Bacterial small subunit ribosomal RNA
Source: RNAcentral